RNAcentral lists this transfer RNA (71 nucleotides) under Deferribacterales bacterium. Its description in RNAcentral is "tRNA-Cys". It matches the Rfam family "tRNA". From Rfam's summary of the family: Transfer RNA (tRNA) molecules are approximately 80 nucleotides in length. Their secondary structure includes four short double-helical elements and three loops (D, anti-codon, and T loops). Further hydrogen bonds mediate the characteristic L-shaped molecular structure. tRNAs have two regions of fundamental functional importance: the anti-codon, which is responsible for specific mRNA codon recognition, and the 3' end, to which the tRNAs corresponding amino acid is attached (by aminoacyl-tRNA synthetases). tRNAs cope with the degeneracy of the genetic code in two manners: having more than one tRNA (with a specific anti-codon) for a particular amino acid; and 'wobble' base-pairing, i.e. permitting non-standard base-pairing at the 3rd anti-codon position. The record is from RNAcentral. Lineage: Bacteria; Pseudomonadati; Deferribacterota; Deferribacteres; Deferribacterales.
GGCGACGUGGCCGAGUGGUUAGGCAGUGGCCUGCAAAGCCAUCUACCCCAGUUCAAAUCUGGGCGUCGCCU